Leptinotarsa decemlineata (Colorado potato beetle) is the source of this 889-nucleotide long non-coding RNA. Lineage: Eukaryota; Metazoa; Arthropoda; Insecta; Coleoptera; Chrysomelidae. The record is from RefSeq and is a predicted model, not a curated record.
AUAAAUUAAAGUUUUAUGGAUGGCCAUAAUUCAAAUUAGAGCAGCAUUUCCAAUCAUGAAUGAAUAAAACAUUAAAUCUAGUAUUAAUACAUGUUUGAAAUCGAAUGAAAGUUAUGCAACAUCAAUAGACGCAACAGAAUAAAUAAACAAUGUUGACCUACUUAAACCUAGAAAGUUGUCUGUACCUCAAAAAAUAAAUUCCAUAAGAGAAUAAGUGGCAAUUUAAUUGAUUUUAAAUAUGAGCAUUAAUUUUUGUUUCCCUUGCGGAUCUCAAUUGAAUGAAAUACAUUCAAUAAAAUUCAUGUUGACAAGAGCGAGGUUAUGUAAGUAGUUGGUCAUUUGACUACUGCAGUCACGUCUGUCUGAAUGCAAAGUGUAAGCGAAGUGGCCUAGAGACCUACAUUUAUACAACGUUCGAUUUUUACAUCGUUCUAAGAAAUAGAUAUUGGUGAAACCUUGGCGCGAAGUUGAAGGUCAGUAAUUCCUAGGACCUUGAGGCGUGGUAAAUUCGGUUAUCAUUACGGGAUAAGUGCUUAAUCUAAUAAACAAUGCAUGAAGAAGCGACAAGUAUGAGCGUUCCUAGCUCUGUUGCCGCAUCUACUACACCACAAAACGAAAACGGCAUAUCUACAGUUUCGGUGGUUAAUGCUGAAGUGGAUUUGGAAGUUUCUACGGAUAAUGAAAACAUUGACUUGCAAGUGCCUUUUUCAGCGAGUUCAGGAGGUAAAUAUUGGAAACAUCUUCAAAAUUGUUCCAUGAUAAUGAUCCAACAGUAAUUCUAGGUAAAAAGGAUUUGUAUAUAUUUAGUAUUUGAGUUUUUAUUCAAAAGAAAUGUUUGCGGUUGAACACAGUAAACUAUGAUUUGAGUAUACAAAAACUAUGUUUUGAA